RNAcentral lists this ribosomal RNA (429 nucleotides) under Bacteroidota bacterium. Its description in RNAcentral is "Bacteroidetes bacterium partial 16S ribosomal RNA". It matches the Rfam family "Bacterial small subunit ribosomal RNA", at positions 355 to 776 of the family's 1533-position model. Lineage: Bacteria; Pseudomonadati; Bacteroidota. The record is from RNAcentral.
UAGGGAAUCUUCCGCAAUGGACGCAAGUCUGACGGAGCAACGCCGCGUGAGUGAAGAAGGUCUUCGGAUCGUAAAACUCUGUUAUUAGGGAAGAAUAAAUGUGUAAGUAACUAUGCACGUCUUGACGGUACCUAAUCAGAAAGCCACGGCUAACUACGUGCCAGCAGCCGCGGUAAUACGUAGGUGGCAAGCGUUAUCCGGAAUUAUUGGGCGUAAAGCGCGCGUAGGCGGUUUUUUAAGUCUGAUGUGAAAGCCCACGGCUCAACCGUGGAGGGUCAUUGGAAACUGGAAAACUUGAGUGCAGAAGAGGAAAGUGGAAUUCCAUGUGUAGCGGUGAAAUGCGCAGAGAUAUGGAGGAACACCAGUGGCGAAGGCGACUUUCUGGUCUGUAACUGACGCUGAUGUGCGAAAGCGUGGGGAUCAAACAGG